CACGUAGGCACCAAGCGUUGUCCGGAUUUAUUGGGCGUAAAGAGCUCGUAGGCGGUUCAGUAAGUCGGGUGUGAAAACUCUGGGCUCAACCCAGAGAGGCCACCCGAUACUGCUGUGACUUGAGUACGGUAGGGGAGUGGGGAAUUCCCGGUGUAGCGGUGAAAUGCGCAGAUAUCGGGAGGAACACCUAUGGCGAAGGCAGCUCGCUGGGACGUUACUGACGCUGAGACGCGAAAGCGUGGGGAGCAAACAGG
This 254-nucleotide ribosomal RNA is filed under the name uncultured bacterium. RNAcentral describes it as "partial 16S ribosomal RNA". It matches the Rfam family "Bacterial small subunit ribosomal RNA", at positions 524 to 776 of the family's 1533-position model. The record is from RNAcentral.